CCGCGCCAUCCCGCCCCCGUACAAAAAUGGACGUCCGUGCGCUAUGUGCACCCGGGGGUUCGGGGCCGACACUACCCUACCUCAACUAGAAUUUACAAUAUGGCAGUGAGGCUUGUUGAUGAAUCAUACAUUCGUUUAGCUACCAAGAUGCAACAUGCCUAACGAGAGUACAACAAGAACUCGCCAUCACGGAAGCGACAGAUUUCGAAUAUUUAUAAAAAUAACAUUUGCGCCGUGAACCAAAAUGUUGUGGUAUAUGAUUUCCUGUUCGUGUGCAAAGUACAUCAAAGAUCCCUCUUUUCACUGGCAUUACCAUAACAUGUUUCUGGGACAAUAAAUUAUUUGUAAGAAAGAAAGAAAUGAAGAUCCCAUGUCGAAUAUUUAUAUGGCCUGUGUACUAUCAAUAAACUAUGAAAAAAACUACAAAGUUUACAAAGAUAGUUCGUCAGGCGAACGUCAGUUUUAAAACGAAAAUUUCAUAUAUUAUAACACCAUUAAAAAUGGAAAUUUGUUUCUUUGUAACUACUAAUGAAAUAAUCUGGUUCAAGUUAUAUAAGGGCCAGUAAUUGCUCCCCCCCCCCCUUCCCCCGCCCCAACC
This is a long non-coding RNA of Gigantopelta aegis, 598 nucleotides long. RefSeq lists it as uncharacterized. Lineage: Eukaryota; Metazoa; Mollusca; Gastropoda; Neomphalida; Peltospiridae. The transcript has 2 exons. The record is from RefSeq and is a predicted model, not a curated record.